UGUCUAUCAGCUGACAAAUGGAUAAAUAAAAUGUACUACAUACUAUAAUGGAACAUUAUUAAACCAUAAAAAGAAAUAAAGUACAGAUAAAUGCUACAACUUGCGUAAACCUUGAAAAUAUGCUAAGUGAAAGAAUCCAGUCACAAAAGUCUACAUAUUACAUGAUUUUAUUUAUAAGAAAGUCCAGAAUAGGGAAAUAUAUGAAGACAGAAUGCAGAAUAGUGAUUGCUUUGGGCUGCAGGAGAGAUAGCAGCCCCAAGGGAGGGUUAUAACUAAAAGACAUGUCACCUUUUUUGAAGUGAUGAAACUGUUCUAAAAUUGGUGAUGGUUGCACAUAUCUGUGAAUUAAAUCUGUUGUAUACUCUAAAUAGGUGAAUUGUAUGAUAUUAAAUUAUAGCUCAGUAAAGCUGUUUUUUUUUUUUUUUUAAAGAUAUCAAAUCUACAAUCUCAUCUUCCAUCUUAAAGUGGAAAAAGAAGAACAAGGCCGGGUGCGAUGGCUCACGCUUGUAAUCCCAGCACUUUGGGAGGCUGAGGUUUCUGAGCAAGAUGCUUGCAUGAAAGAUUCAAUCUAAUGCCAAUGCAAAAAUAUUGUGAAAGCAGCAGGAUCAGCUAGGCUUCCAGUUGGCUUCUUAAAUGCUGCAUUGAGAGGAUGAAACAGAAUGGGUGUGAACAAGAGUUCCCUGAGAAAGGAUAGCUCUUAGAGAGAGAGGAUGCUUACUGGACUCAAGAAGAUACCAAAUCAUGAUCACUUGCUCUGGGGAAAGCCAGCUGUCAUAUUGUGAGCAGACCUAUGAAAAGGCCCACUUGGUGAAGAACUGAGGCCUCUGACUGAUGGACACAUGGGUGACCUUGCAAUCAAGUCUUCUGGCCCCAACCAAGCCUUCAGCUGAGACUGCAGCCUCAUGAAAGAUCCUGAGCUAGAAGCAUCCUGCCAUCCUAAUAAGCCACUUGAAUUUCUGACCCUUAAAAAUUGUGAGAUAAUAAGCACCUGUGCUUCUUUUAAGUAUUAGGUUUAAAAAAUGCUGAAAAAAUAAAGAAGAAAAAAGACAACUCAUAAUCUCACCACAUUAAAAAGAAUAGCUAUAGAAAAAUUCCAGUAGUAUAAAAAAUAAAAAUGGAAAUAACUCCCCACCAUCCCCGAUCUUUAGUUCUUUUUCCCACAGUGACGUUUUCUUUCCCAAGACAUGUUCAUGCAUAUGCAAUAUAUGUAUGCAAUAUAUGCGUAAACUCUUUAAGAUGUUCACAAAAGGAUCAUGUUACACUCACUUGAAAAAAUAUUAUAUA
This is a long non-coding RNA of Cercocebus atys (sooty mangabey), 1284 nucleotides long. RefSeq lists it as uncharacterized. Lineage: Eukaryota; Metazoa; Chordata; Mammalia; Primates; Cercopithecidae. The transcript is spliced from 4 exons. The record is from RefSeq and is a predicted model, not a curated record.